AACGAACGCUGGCGGCAUGCCUAACACAUGCAAGUCGAACGAGACCUUCGGGUCUAGUGGCGCACGGGUGCGUAACGCGUGGGAACCUGCCCUUAGGUUCGGAAUAACUCCCCGAAAGGGGUGCUAAUACCGGAUAAUGUCUUCGGACCAAAGAUUUAUCGCCUUUGGAUGGGCCCGCGUUGGAUUAGCUAGUUGGUAGGGUAAAAGCCUACCAAGGCGACGAUCCAUAGCUGGUAUGAGAGGAUGAUCAGCCACACUGGGACUGAGACACGGCCCAGACUCCUACGGGAGGCAGCAGUGGGGAAUAUUGGACAAUGGGCGAAAGCCUGAUCCAGCAAUGCCGCGUGAGUGAUGAAGGCCUUAGGGUUGAAAAGCUCUUUUACCCGGGAUGAUAAUGACAGUACCGGGAGAAUAAGCUCCGGCUAACUACGUG
RNAcentral lists this ribosomal RNA (433 nucleotides) under uncultured bacterium. RNAcentral's name for it is "partial 16S ribosomal RNA". It matches the Rfam family "Bacterial small subunit ribosomal RNA", at positions 29 to 507 of the family's 1533-position model. The record is from RNAcentral.